Long non-coding RNA from Drosophila miranda, 203 nucleotides. RefSeq lists it as uncharacterized. The transcript has 2 exons. Lineage: Eukaryota; Metazoa; Arthropoda; Insecta; Diptera; Drosophilidae. The record is from RefSeq and is a predicted model, not a curated record.
CGAUAUUCGUGCUGUCAGAGGAAACGCGAACCUAGCAGCCAGACUUCCGUUCGACCAUCGUUCUUUCGUUCUCGACCCGUCAAACCGACCACAAGGAAAAUGAGAGCUAAGUGGCGUAAGAAGCGUAUGCGUAGGUUGAAGCGUAAGCGCAGAAAGAUGCGUGCACGUUCCAAGUAGGUGCAGCGCCAUCGACCACUAACUGG